UGCAUUUUCAGUCUGCAGCCUUUAUAAGGAUAUUGCUCCACUGGGAUUAGAAGAAAAUUAUUAGAGGAAAAUAUCAGGUUCAGUCACCGUGCUGUGAAUAUUAUUUCUAGACAGGUCUGUUCUUCAUUUCAUGUUUCCUUCAAAAUGACCUGAAAAUGACCUGUUAAAGAGAAUUUACCUCAAAAUCGGGACAGUAUGCACGGACUCAUACCUACUGAUCCUGGGAUCUUAGGUAUCAGUUUUUCUGUCUGCUUUCAAUAUGAGUGGAUAUUGCUGUUGCUCCUCUGUGGGACCUGCAGUACUUUGCAGAUGAGUCUUCAGGGCUGGUGAGAUUUGCUGUGAAUGACUAAAACAUGCACUGGACAAUAGUGUAUUAGUCAGACCUUCUUCCAGCAAAGUAACUUCAUUCCAUUUACCUAAGGCUGGGACACAGUGCUCUGUGCAAGGGAAUGGACUCUCACCUGUGGAUGGACAGAUACCAGACUGCCUUCUCUGCUCAUUAAGGUCAUUAUUAGCAAUUUUUGUUCCAAUGAAAGACCUAGAAAUUCUCAUAUUUCUCUUAAAACCCAGUGGAGUACAUCUGUUCCUAAAUUUAUAGGGAAG
Molecule: long non-coding RNA, 603 nt
Filed under: Coturnix japonica (Japanese quail)
Lineage: Eukaryota; Metazoa; Chordata; Aves; Galliformes; Phasianidae
Description: lncRNA (ENSCJPG00005005115.1)
Source: RNAcentral